Long non-coding RNA from Poecilia latipinna (sailfin molly), 764 nucleotides. RefSeq lists it as uncharacterized. The transcript has 2 exons. The record is from RefSeq and is a predicted model, not a curated record. NCBI's taxonomy places the organism in Eukaryota, Metazoa, Chordata, Actinopteri, Cyprinodontiformes, Poeciliidae.
UUUAAAGAUUCCAAGUAAGAAGAGCUAAAUGCAAGAGCAAUAAAUAAAUAAAUAAAUAAAAACAGCAAGUAUUGGAGAGCAGAGUGGUCAUAAAAGAAAAUUAAGUUGAAAGACAUGGUGCUGGAGGAAUUGUUAGGUUCUGGGUUUUUCUCCACUAGAUGGAGUCCUGGAGGCGGCUGCACAGGGGACGGACCUUUGACGUCAUCCACACACUGGUCAGCAAUUACGUCCUUACCUGCGGCUUAAGAGAAGCGGUUUACCAACUCUUUGAUGCCAGAUUGUUGACUAGUGAUGGACUUACCCGAGCAUCCGGAUCUGGACCUCCGCUCCCAGUUCCCCCCUUGUGAUACUGGCGGAGGUCACCCGCCAGAUGCCCGAGUCUCCACUGCAACUUUACAGUUCAAUCCUUCUCCAAUCCUCACUCAAAUUGGCAAACCGUCCGCACAGUUGUUCUCCAAGCCCUGGGCGACCUGUCCAUUCCCCAACACCAGCUCAGAUCAAGCCGCUGCUCCUAGCUUCCGUCAAGGACUCGACGUUUCCUGGCAUACUCCUCCGUAACCAAAGAAACGGAAACCCAGAACCUCUGACUUCCUCCAAAGGUUUCACACGCCUGUAAGUUCCUCCUUCCUCUCUGAUCACAACGCUAAUUUCCUACAACCUCAAACUCAUCAUCUCCCCUGUGUUUUUUUCUUAGUGUACUGUUGGUGCUGCUGCCCGCCGCUCAAACCAGUUUCCCUCCUGCUCAUAAUAAACCUGUUAAACUU